This 1638-nucleotide long non-coding RNA is filed under the name Calidris pugnax (ruff). Its description in RNAcentral is "lncRNA (ENSCPUG00000007530.1)". The record is from RNAcentral. Lineage: Eukaryota; Metazoa; Chordata; Aves; Charadriiformes; Scolopacidae.
UACGCUGAGGCUGGUCCAGGCUUGGUUUGCCUCGGUGCACACGGAGGAGCUCUGCGUGUGUGCACAGGCAGCUGGGAAACCAGCAGAACGUGUUCGUUCAUGAUGUGGUGUAGUAAAGGGUCUUCUGCAAUGUGCCCAUCCCUGUUUCUGUCUCCACCCUCAGCCGAGUCUGAGAGAGAAGAGGAAUGGAUUCAAACCCUCAUGAGCCUGUCAUCUUUGUACCCUAGCCUGUGGUGUGGACACCUACCACCAGUCCAUCUUUAGCUACAUGACACAGUGCAGAACAAGGCACCAAAACUAAGUUUUGCUACUUUUGCUUCUGACACAAGAUUAAUCUGAAUCACCCGACGCCAGGCAGAAAAUACGUCCCAUGUUUGGAGUGAGGUUUUUGGCUGCAGAAGAACAUAACAGUUCAAGCACUAAAAAAGAAGUAAGCUGGAAAAGUUAAUUUCUAUAAGCUGUUUCUAGCAGUAGGGUGCAAAGGAAACCAAACCUUAUGCUACCACCUUGUCUCAGUGACCCACUUAAGAACUUCUUUAAUCUACCAAUCACUUUCAGUCCCAUUUGACAGAAGCAGAGAUCCCUCAGAUAUGCCAUCCUACAAGUUUUAGUGGACAUUAACUUUCGCAUCGCCAGGGUAGCCUCGCAAAGGGAAAAACACUUUCAGUCUCUUAUGUGAGACUAUCUUUUAUCUAGAGGCAAAAACCCACCGCCCAGUCAGCUCAUGCCUAUCUUCAAGCAUGACAGGGAAGAUUCUGCCACUUGCCUGGCCAGGCAGAGAGGAAAUGAGAGAGUCGUGAGGGGAAGGGAAGGAAUGUGGAGAUGCAACGUCCAACCCCAUGGGAAACUGGAUUUCCACUCCUCAUAGAGCAGCAUGUUUCAGUGAAGACUGAGGUUCAGAGGUGGCCUUGCUGAGAUGCCUCUGAGCCUGGGGCACUGGGGACUAGCGUUUGGUCCAAGAUUAAACAUACCAAAACCAGCCAUGAAAUUCCAGUCCAGACCGAAUUCCUUACCACGGUAAGCAUCUCUAUUUCAACUUAAAUAUUUAAUUUGCUUGACGAGAUUGUUGGAACUUGCCCCUGGAGUGUUGAAUAAUUUCUAUCUUGUCUCCUAAAGUCCAAACCCGGUCUUUUAACCCUCAGGAAAUUUGAGCAGUUAAUAUCAUGAUGUGAUCCAAAAAGAUGCUGAGCACCAGAAACCUCAUAGCAGCAAGUAUAAAUAUGUCUGGGUUUCAGCUGCAGGUCCUUUAAGAGCUACCUGUUACUGUAACCACUUCACAUCAUUUGCACAGUGGGGCUUUUUGCUGGAUUGAUAAGCAGUUCACUGUAAACAACCAUUUCAUGGUAUUUAUAUGAAUACAGGGUGUCAUAAUUCUGAGCUUCUCUCCUCCCUACAAGAGAAAAUAUUCAAGGAAAUUCCCCAAAGGGCAAGUCACGUUUGGAUAAGUCUGGCAUCACUCCAAGAGCGUGUGAUUGCCAGAGAAAGGGAAUUUACUUGAAGAAGAAUGAGAAUAUAGCAUUAUUUACCAGCUAAGAGCUGAUUCUGCAGGGGGUAGAACAUUGUCUGCCUUGGUAUCAGAGGAGACUGAAGCCGCUCCACAUCUCAGCCACAGAUUUAAUAAACACUGACGUGUUUGCA